Molecule: ribosomal RNA, 496 nt
Filed under: uncultured bacterium
Lineage: Bacteria
Description: partial 16S ribosomal RNA
Rfam family: Bacterial small subunit ribosomal RNA
Source: RNAcentral
AUGAACGCUGGCGGCGUGCCUAAUACAUGCAAGUCGAGCGAACAGACGAGGAGCUUGCUCCUCUGAUGUUAGCGGCGGACGGGUGAGUAACACGUGGAUAACCUACCUAUAAGACUGGGAUAACUUCGGGAAACCGGAGCUAAUACCGGAUAACAUGUUGAACCGCAUGGUUCAACAGUGAAAGACGGUCUUGCUGUCACUUAUAGAUGGAUCCGCGCCGCAUUAGCUAGUUGGUAAGGUAACGGCUUACCAAGGCAACGAUGCGUAGCCGACCUGAGAGGGUGAUCGGCCACACUGGAACUGGGACACGGUCCAGACUCCUACGGGAGGCAGCAGUAGGGAAUCUUCCGCAAUGGGCGAAAGCCUGACGGAGCAACGCCGCGUGAGUGAAGAAGGUCUUCGGAUCGUAAAACUCUGUUAUUAGGGAAGAACAAAUGUGUAAGUAACUAUGCACGUCUUGACGGUACCUAAUCAGAAAGCCACGGCUAACUACGUG